RNAcentral lists this ribosomal RNA (407 nucleotides) under bacterium enrichment culture clone ALO1_GLFRUDD03HBSYX. RNAcentral's name for it is "bacterial SSU rRNA". It matches the Rfam family "Bacterial small subunit ribosomal RNA", at positions 9 to 416 of the family's 1533-position model. The record is from RNAcentral.
GAGUUUGAUCUUGGCUCAGAUUGAACGCUGGCGGCAUGCCUUACAUAUGCAAGUCGAACGGCAGCACGGGAGCUUGCUCCUGGUGGCGAGUGGCGAACGGGUGAGUAAUGCAUCGGAACGUAUCCUGGAGUGGGGGAUAACGUAGCGAAAGUUACGCUAAUACCGCAUAUUCUGUGAGCAGGAAAGCGGGGGACCUUCGGGCCUCGCGCUCUUGGAGCGGCCGAUGUCGGAUUAGCUAGUUGGUGAGGUAAAGGCUCACCAAGGCGACGAUCCGUAGCAGGUCUGAGAGGAUGAUCUGCCACACUGGAACUGAGACACGGUCCAGACUCCUACGGGAGGCAGCAGUGGGGAAUUUUGGACAAUGGGGGCAACCCUGAUCCAGCCAUGCCGCGUGAGUGAAGAAGGCC